ACAGGUGGGUGGGUGUAAGUGCACCAAGGCGCGCGAGAGAGACCUCUCUAAGGAACUCGGCACAUUAGCCCCGUAACUUCGGGAAAAGGGGUGCUCGCUUCGGCGAGCCACAGUAAAUUGCGUUUAGCGACUGUUUAACAAAAACACAGCACUCUGCCACGUCGUUAAGACAACGUAUAGGGUGUGACAAGUGACCAAUGCGGAAAGAUCAAGGCAAGGGGUUAGCCGCAAGGCGAAGCUCUGAACCUAAGUCCCCGUGAAUGUCGGCCGUAACUAUAACGGUCCUAAGGUAGCGAAAUUCCUUGUCGGGUAAGUUCCGACCUGCACGAAUCUUGUAACGACUGAACGACUGUCUCGGAGAGGUCCUCGGCGAAACUGUAACGGCGGUGAAGAUGCCGCCUGCCCGCAGUAGGACGGAAAGACCCUAUGCACCUUUACUGUAAGCUCGUAUUGGCUUCUGGUUGAUGAUGCUUAGCGUAGGUGGGAGACUUUGAAGGCAUGGCUUCGGUUGUGCUGGAGUCGAAAUGUGAAACACCACUCUUUGUCAACUAGGAGUCUAACCUCGAUCCCGUUAGCCGGGCGAGGGACAGUGCGUGCGGGUCAGUUUGGCUGGGGCGGCUUCCUCCCAAAUGGUAACGGAGGAGCGCGAAGCUGGGCUCAGCAUGGUUGGCAACCAUGCGUCGAGCGUAUGGGUAGAAGCCCGGUUAACUGCGAGACCAACAAGUCAAGCAGAUGCGAAAGCAGGCCCAAAUGAUCCGAUGGUUGAAUGUGGAAUUGCCAUCGCUCAACGGACAAAAGGUACGCUAGGGAUAACAGGCUGAUCGGGACCAAGAGUUCACAUCGACGUCCCGGUUUGGCACCUCGAUGUCGGCUCAUCGCAUCCUGGGGCUGGAGAAGGUCCCAAGGGUCCGGCUGUUCGCCGGUUAAAGCGGUACGCGAGCUGGGUUCAGAACGUCGUGAGACAGUUCGGUCCUUAUCCACUGUGGGCGGAGGAAACUUGAGGGGUUCAUUCCUUAGUACGAGAGGACCGGGAAUGACGCACUUCUGGUGUGGCAGUUGUCGUGUCAACGGCAGCGCUGCGUAGCCACGUGCGGAAGGGAUAAGCGCUGAAAGCAUCUAAGUGCCAAGCCCAUCCCAAGAUAUGGUUUCCCAGACGCAAGUCCCUGAAGACACCAAGCAGACUACUUGGUUGAUAGGCUGGGCGUGCAAGCUCCGUGAGGAGUUUAGCGGACCAGUACUAAUCAGUCGUGAGGCUUGAUUGC
Molecule: ribosomal RNA, 1262 nt
Filed under: metagenome
Description: bacterial LSU rRNA
Rfam family: Bacterial large subunit ribosomal RNA
Source: RNAcentral